This 399-nucleotide ribosomal RNA is filed under the name Melaloncha trita. Its description in RNAcentral is "partial 12S ribosomal RNA". Lineage: Eukaryota; Metazoa; Arthropoda; Insecta; Diptera; Phoridae. The record is from RNAcentral.
CUAGGAUUAGAUACCCUAUUAUUUAAAAUGUAAAAACUAAAGUAUUAAUAGAUAUGAUCUUUAAACUUAAAAAAUUUGGCGGUAUUUUAGUCUAUUCAGAGGAACCUGUUUUAUAAUCGAUAAUCCACGUUGGACCUUACUUUAAUUUAUAAAUUAGUUUAUAUACCGUCGUUAUAAAAAAUUUUAUAAGAAUAAUAAUUUUUAAAAUUUUAUAUCAGAUCAAGGUGUAGCUUAUAUUAAAGAAAAUAAUGGGUUACAAUAAAAUUAUUUAUAUGAAUAUAAAAAUGAAAAAUUUAUUGAAAGAGGAUUUGAAAGUAAAAUUAAAUAGAUUUUUAAUUUGAUUUUAGCUCUAAAAUAUGUACAUAUCGCCCGUCACUCUUAUUAUUAAAAUAAGAUAAG